Molecule: ribosomal RNA, 400 nt
Filed under: uncultured bacterium
Lineage: Bacteria
Description: bacterial SSU rRNA
Rfam family: Bacterial small subunit ribosomal RNA
Source: RNAcentral
UGGGGAAUAUUGCGCAAUGGAGGAAACUCUGACGCAGCAAUGCCGCGUGAGUGAAGAAGGGAUUCGUUCCGUAAAGCUCUGCCGUUGGGGAAGAGAGAAGACGGUACCCAACAAGCAAGCCCCGGCUAACUACGUGCCAGCAGCCGCGGUAACACGUAGGGGGCGAGCGUUGUCCGGAAUUACUGGGCGUAAAGGGCACGCAGGCGGCUGUGCAGGCAGGAUGUGAAAAGUCAGGGCCCAACCCUGAAGGUGCAUCCUGAACCACGCAGCUAGAGUGCUGGAGAGGCAGGCAGAAUUCCUGGUGUAGCGGUGAAAUGCGCAGAUAUCAGGAGGAAUACCGGAGGCGAAGGCGGCCUGCCGGACAGACACUGACGCUCAGGUGCGAAAGCGUGGGGAGCAA